CACUGACAACCACCAGUUGAGUCCAUGAUUCAGGGAAGAGACAGUCUGGGCAGCAGCAACAAGACAACUAUUACAAGUAGAGAUGGGUUUCAAGAACUGGUACUAAUUUGGUUCCUGACUUGUUCGACACAACCACAUAUCCUCCAAAUCAUCUCUGCCUGGAUGGCAGCAAGGAUCCAGGAUCAAGAGAUCAUUCUUCAUGGAGACUGUUCCACAGGAAGCAGUUUCUCCUGGGUGAAAAACUAAACCUGGUUGUUUCAGCAUCA
Molecule: long non-coding RNA, 266 nt
Organism: Carassius gibelio (silver crucian carp)
Lineage: Eukaryota; Metazoa; Chordata; Actinopteri; Cypriniformes; Cyprinidae
Exons: 3
Source: RefSeq, a predicted model, not a curated record